RNAcentral lists this ribosomal RNA (254 nucleotides) under uncultured bacterium. Its description in RNAcentral is "partial 16S ribosomal RNA". It matches the Rfam family "Bacterial small subunit ribosomal RNA", at positions 524 to 776 of the family's 1533-position model. The record is from RNAcentral.
CACGUAGGCACCAAGCGUUGUCCGGAUUUAUUGGGCGUAAAGAGCUCGUAGGCGGUCUGUCGCGUCGAUCGUGAAAACUUGGGGCUUAACCCUGAGCUUGCGGUCGAUACGGGCAUGACUGGAGUUCGGCAGGGGAGACUGGAAUUCCUGGUGUAGCGGUGAAAUGCGCAGAUAUCAGGAGGAACACCGGUGGCGAAGGCGGGUCUCUGGGCCGAUACUGACGCUGAGGAGCGAAAGCGUGGGGAGCGAACAGG